Molecule: long non-coding RNA, 2188 nt
Organism: Doryrhamphus excisus (bluestripe pipefish)
Lineage: Eukaryota; Metazoa; Chordata; Actinopteri; Syngnathiformes; Syngnathidae
Source: RefSeq, a predicted model, not a curated record
CCGCGAACCAACCUUGUGAAUUCGGACGGUCCCGCCUUCCUCGCACUUCCUGGUGUGUCACGUGGUCUCAUGUUUACCCUGAGACGUCAUGACAGAAUAUCUGCCUUCAAUUGUCACAGUAAAAUCCAGGGUGGAUCCCGCCGCUCUCCCGAAGACAGCUGGGAUAGGCUCCAGCAUGCCCACAACACUCGUGAGGAUAAGCGGUAUAGAAAAUGGAUGGAUGGAUGGAUGGAUGAUUCUCUCAGCUCUGCCCCGUAAUGGUGACUUUUUUAAGGGUUGGACGAAAGCGUGCAAAGAUUGUUGGGAGAUGAUUGGCCACGAAGGUUGGUUGGAUUUCAGACUUCUUCUCAAUGGAGAAGGACACAUUUGUCGGCCGCAUUUGGAGAAGCCUUCGUGGACUUUCUAAUUCGGGUGACGUCAUGCAUCCUACAAAUGAGCACUUUCACGAUGCAGACCCCGAAUUCCGACACAACCACCGUUUCGACGCUGCUUGAUGACGUCACGUGCUCCAGCCUGGCUCGUGGGUUUGACGAAUGACGCGUUUCAACAUUUUCAUUUGCUAAAAUAACAUUUUGUUUAGCUUGUGUAUUCGAAUUGACUCAGAGGUUGAAAAACGACGAUUAUUCAAAAACGUAAUGCUUUAUUUUAUUAUCACUUUGUAUUCAUAGAGUACUUUGGUUACUAUGCUUAGUCGUAGAUAAUAUUAUCUUUAAUUAGAAAGUCACAGCAAAUGUAACUUUAAUUCUAAUUGUUGCACGAGAUCAAUAACCUGAAUAUGUUAAAUUGUUCCUAAAGGUAAAUAUUGGCCACCGUAGCAGUGCUCCUCAAGCCAAGACGUCUGUAUGGUAAUUCACUCUUUACUAUCCACUUACCGAACACCAUUUGCCCCCGUAAUACACCCACCUCAGGCUAACUUGAAUUAUAGUGGUCCCCACUAUACAGACUUUCUGUUACUUGUAUUAUACUGUAGCAUUGUAAACACUGGCCUGGUUUGUAUGUAAACUUACUGGUUGGAUUAUGUGCUGUUUCAUUGUCAUUUACUAACAGUUGUGUUUACAUUGUCGACAUGCUGCUCUAUGUGCCUUUAUUUGCCCCCAGGUACAUAGCUUUAGGGAAAAAUAAGAAUACAUUCGCACUUAAAUCCUUUCCCCUUUCAUUUGCCCUCAAGUCCCAAAAGAAACUUUAUUCAUUAAACGGGUACAAUCUCAUUGAAAAUGAAGGCCAAAUGAAGCCCAUGUUUAUUGAUUCCCAAAAAGACUUGAUCAGAAAAUACAAUCCUUUCAAACACCAGGCUGACGGUAUCAAUAACUUUGCAAGAACUGAGAACCCAAGUCCUCUACUAGAAAAUACUGAGCAGGAUGUGACAUCAGGCCAGACAUAACAGAGGUACAUACUGUGAGCAUGUCAAUGUCGUCGACGUGUUCAUAAUGGAGAAAUUACACAACGGCCUAAGUUAGCUUCAAACUAGAGGUAAAACUCUGAUCAGGGAGCUACAUGUGAAGAAACAAAUCUACGCUCACAACUAGUCAUAAUCAUACAUGAGACAAUUAGAUAUUCAUCUUACAUCUGUCAACAGUCUUUCCUCCCUUUGGCUUCAGGAGUAUUGGAGAACACAGACUGCAAACCACAUUUAGCAUACACUAGUUUGUCAUGCGCUUCAGAAGAAUCAAAAGAAACGCAUCCACUUUGAAACAGACGUGACUGUUGUGCUCGAUUCAUAUGGACAGACCCUGGACAAAUACUGAUGCAUCCAAUUGUUUUAAAGAAAUUCAGAGCAAAUCUGAGUUAAGAUAAAGGACUCAGUAGCAAGUGGUGAAUGCAUACUGUAUGUAUCCCAUUUCAUGUCGACUCAUUUCAGUCACACCAUGGAAACAACCAAUCCCCAUUGACUUAAGUGUUGUUCAGUCGUUGUCAGACACAAUGACAUCUGUGUGAGAAAACCAGAAAGACAAAUGGAAACCUGGAGCCCCUUUAAAAGCGGAACCGAUCAAUAACCGAUUUAAUCAUGUCCAUCCUCAAAAAACUAUUCAGAUGAUGCAGUGCACGCUGAGCAGUCAGACUGUAUACCAGCACCUCCCAGCCAUGGAUGUUGUGCGCCUUGACCACCGACACAAAUGUUCGUAUAAAGUGUCCUGUGGAAUCCUUUCAGUCGAAAUGUAGGGCUGUGUAAAAGAUUAUCCACACCACC